This 2582-nucleotide non-coding RNA is filed under the name Pan troglodytes (chimpanzee). Lineage: Eukaryota; Metazoa; Chordata; Mammalia; Primates; Hominidae. The record is from RNAcentral.
AGAAGUGCCGAGUCCCGACCGGGGGCAGCCUCGCCGCCGCUCAGCUCGGGAAUCCCUGCCCCCCACCAGCACCUCAGUGGGGGAUACUGCAAGUUCAAGGUGGUUUAAGGCGUGAAUGAAUGAAGGAGCAAGCAGUAAGCCCCGACAGCAAGGCCACCACAGCCCUCGCCCCACAGGGACGCCUGAGCAAGGACCCAAGCAGGGGACAAGCAGGCUCACCCCGCCCUUGCGGGGCUGACCACGAGGCCCCGUCCGGUGGAACAUGCCAUGACGAUCUGAACCUGCCCCAGCCCCAGGACUCUGAGUGCAGCCAGAGGGGAGCCGGGCUGGAGAGUGGGGAGCACGGAGACUGUGGCCUGGAUGGUGCCAGAGCAAACAGGGGAGAGGCUGCCCCACGCAGAGGCUGCGGCACAGCCCAGAGGGUCCCGGGGCUGACUGGGUGGGGGCAGCUCCCAGCGAGAGGCCCCUGGGAUUUGGGUAAGUAGAGGCACAUGCAGACUCUGGCCACAGGGCACCUCACGCACGAGGGGAGUUCACCACACAAGCUGAGCGGAGGGCGGACGCAGGAGACCAGCGGUUUCUCGGAAGCCAAGGGCAGUCAUGGAGCCCCACGCCACAGCGCUUCCCACAGGGCCACACCAUCCGGUCUGCGGAGGGGGCUGCAUUGCCGGGAAGGACCAUCUGAUUCUGGAUUCCAGCCUCACCCUGGGCCACCGCUGAGUGUCCCAAGUGGCCCCUUAGCCCCCAGGGCCAGGCGGCAUCCCAAUCCCCUAGGGAUGUCUGUGCUCAGAAUGUGGCACACACGCCCCGGCAGGGCCAUCCUCCUCCUCCUGCACCCGCCACAGCCGUGGGUUCGGGGUCUCUAUCGUGGGCAGAAAUUCACACAGUCAAGGUGAGGGUCCCAGGAGCAGCUGUGACCAGGCCCCGGCUGCCAGGGAGAGGGGGUCUUCAGCCGACGGGGCAGACACCCUGAGAUGGACCCUCGUCCAGGGGAGGGCCCUGCCACCCACAAUUCCUUGGCAUUCCUGCACCAGCAGGACGGGCUGAGGGAGGCGCCUCGCCAGUGUCAGUGCCCAGCAUCACUGUGCCCCGGUGGAGGGGGAGGCCCUUCCGAGCCUGGGCCUGGGUGUGGAUGAGGGCAGGUCUCUCACCUCUCUGACCUCAGCUUCCUCAACUGGGAAGGGGGGCCGCAGCACCCCCUUAGGGGUGAUGAGGAAGUGGGAGCUCAGGGAGGACCCCGGGCAGGGCUGCCUCCUCACCUCUCUUCAGCUUUUGGACACUGGAGCUCAGAGGCCCAAGUGAAUGAAUGAAUGACUCAAUCAAUCAAGUGAUCCAUCAAUCCACGGACCCCUGAACAGCUGGACAGCUGGGCUGUGGGCAGGACAGGGGACUCUGGCUGAAGCCGCGUUCAUAUGUGUUCAGCUUUGUGAGUGGGGCGAGGUUGAGGGCUUAUUCAGUGGGGGAGGUGCACGGCAGGGCCAGUACCCUUGGAGGGUCAGGCCACAGGGGCGGGGACACCUGCCAGGAUGCCCAACCCCAGAGGCAGUGGGAGCCGUUGGGGAGCCGUGGUCCCAGUCAGCGGUGGCUUGAUGAGGGCUGCUCCCACUUCGUCCGCAGGAUUCCAGCCGCAGCUACCCCACACCCGAGCUGUCCCUGGUCGCCCACCGUGGCCGGAGAAAGCCGCAGCAGCCAAGGUGCUCCGUGGGGAGGGUUUCUUGGGUUUCUUGAAGCCAGUAUUUCCCAUAGUAUCUUAUGUCCCAGCAGAGGCCUCCACUGUGCCCGGACCAGCGGCCCACUCAGUGAGUCGAGUGUGCACCUGGCACCCCUCUUUCUGGAAAUCCACGAACAAUGGGCUCCCAGCAGAGGACUGAGGCUGAGCAGGCCACUUCCCUGGAGCUGACCCCACAGCUGUGUAGGUACAGGGUGGCCGUGAACACUUAGGGCUCUCUCGGGCUGUGCACUUCUUGUUCACCGCAGCGAGCAGGGUGUUGGCUCCUGACCAAGCCCUGUCACUGCUGCCCAGCCACACGUGGGGCCCCCUUCACCCACCCCUGACCACCUCAUGCAGGUGACGCCACUGUGGAAACAGCCUGGCAGUCCCUUGAAAAAUGAAGUCAUAAACCCCAGCAAUUGCACUCCUGGGCCUCUGACAGAGCUUGCACGUCCCCUCCAAAGCUCAUGUUAAGCUGUGAGCCCCAGUGCCGGAGGUGGGGCCUGGUGUGUUUGGGUUCUGGGGGUGGAUCCCUCAUGGCUGGGUGCCAUGAACCCACUCACCACAGUUCUCACGAGAUCUGGUUGUUGAGAAGUGUGUCAUACCUCCCCCACAACUCUCUGUCUUUUGUUCCGGCUCUGGCCAUGUAACAAGCCUGCUCCUUCUUCGCCUUCUGCCAUGACUGUAAGCUUUCUGAGGGCUGACCAGAAGCCCAGCAGAUGCCAGCACCAUACUUCCUAUACAGCCUGCAGAACCGCGAGCCAGCUAAACCUCUCCUCAUAAAUCACCGAGCCCCAGGUUUAUCUUUACAGCAAUGCAAGACCUGACCAAUACAGCACAAGCUCCCCAAAAUAAAAAGAAAUAUUCAAAC